GAAAAUGAUGAUGUUAAACCCAUGAAAUUUGAUUGAAUUGUGGGAAUGAUGAAAAUGAUGAUGUUAAACCCAUGAAAUUUGAUUGAAUUGUGGGAAUGAUGAAAAUGUUGAUGUUAAACCCAUGAAAUUUGAUUGAAUUGUGGGAAUGAUGAAAAUGAUGAUGUUAAACCCAUGAUAUUUGAUUGAAUUGUGGGAAUGUUGAAAAUGUUGAUGUUAAACCCAUGAAAUUUGAUUGAAUUGUGGGA
This 245-nucleotide long non-coding RNA is filed under the name Lathyrus oleraceus (garden pea). RNAcentral's name for it is "Pisum sativum (pea) long non-coding RNA (PSAT_LNC041477)". The record is from RNAcentral. Lineage: Eukaryota; Viridiplantae; Streptophyta; Magnoliopsida; Fabales; Fabaceae.